GUAGGUGGCAAGCGUUGUCCGGAAUUAUUGGGCGUAAAGCGCGCGCAGGCGGGUCCUUUAAGUCUGAUGUGAAAGCCCACGGGCUCAACCGUGGAGGGUCAUUGGAAACUGGGGGACUUGAGUACAGAAGAGGAAAGCGGAAUUCCAAGUGUAGCGGUGAAAUGCGUAGAGAUUUGGAGGAACACCAGUGGCGAAGGCGGCUUUCUGGUCUGUAACUGACGCUGAGGCGCGAAAGCGUGGGGAGCAAACAGGAUUAGAUACCCUGUAGUCCACGCCGUAAACGAUGAGUGCUAAGUGUUAGGGGGGUUUCCGCCCCUUAGUGCUGCAGCUAACGCAUUAAGCACUCCGCCUGGGGAGUACGGCCGCAAAGGCUG
This 374-nucleotide ribosomal RNA is filed under the name uncultured organism. RNAcentral describes it as "partial 16S ribosomal RNA". It matches the Rfam family "Bacterial small subunit ribosomal RNA", at positions 527 to 896 of the family's 1533-position model. The record is from RNAcentral.